GUCCUUUUGAGUUUAAUUUAAGGUCUGAUCUGCCCACUGAAAUUUAUUUUAAAUGGCCGCAGUAAUUUGACUGUGCAAAGGUAGCAUAAUAAUUAGUUUUUUAAUUAAAAGCUUGUAUGAAAGGUUGGACGAGGUAAAAUCUGUCUCUAUUUAAAUUAAAUUAGAAUUUAACUUUUAAGUCAAAAGGCUUAAAUUUAUAUAAAAGACGAGAAGACCCUAUAGAUCUUUAUAAUUUAUGUUUUAUUAUUAAUUAUGUAUUUUUAAUAUUUUAUAAUUUAAAUUAUUUUAUUGGGGUAAUAGAAAGAUUUAAUUAAUUCUUUUUUAUUGUAUGCAUUGAUUUAUGUUUAUUGUUGAUCCAAUUUUAUUGAUUAUAAGAUUAAGUUACCUUAGGGAUAACAGCGUAAUUUUUUUAGAGAGUUCAUAUCGAUAAAAAAGUUUGCGACCUCGAUGUUGGAUUAAAAAUUAUUUUAGGUGUAGAAGCUUAGAAAUUUGGUCUGUUCGACCAUUAAAUUUUUACAUGAUCUGAGUUCAGACCGGCGUAAGCCAGGUCGGUUUCUAUCUUUAUUUGAUAAAAAUAUUUUAGUACGAAAGGACCAAGUAUUUAAUAUAUUAAUAUUUGUUUUAUGAAUUCUAUUAAA
Molecule: ribosomal RNA, 638 nt
Filed under: Paropisthius masuzoi
Lineage: Eukaryota; Metazoa; Arthropoda; Insecta; Coleoptera; Carabidae
Description: partial large subunit ribosomal RNA
Rfam family: Bacterial large subunit ribosomal RNA (bases 392-550)
Source: RNAcentral